RNAcentral lists this ribosomal RNA (1110 nucleotides) under Triticum aestivum (bread wheat). Its description in RNAcentral is "partial small subunit ribosomal RNA". Lineage: Eukaryota; Viridiplantae; Streptophyta; Magnoliopsida; Poales; Poaceae. The record is from RNAcentral.
AUGGCGCUGGUCGACGGUAGAACCGAGCUGAAGCCGAGCCCUCCAGCGGCGGCCAGCGACAUGUGGCAGCUGUGGGCAAAGAACGGCGAGUGCACUCAGGGGGUUACCUUUGAGGUCACCGUCAUGGCGGCCAAGAUCGCCUAUGAGAACGCCGCAUACAUCGAGAACGUGGUCGCGAAUGUGUGGGGGUUCAAUUUCGUGGGGUACUACAGCUGCUGGAACAAGUUCCUGGAGGUGAGCGCGACCCAGGCGUUCGUGAUGACCGACCGCGGCAAGGACGCGGGCAUGGUCAUGGUGGCUUUCCGUGGCACGCAGGUGUUCAGCACGCAGGACUGGUCGACGGACGUGAACCUGUCGUGGUUGCGCCUAGGCGGCAUGGGCCACGUCCACGCCGGCUUCCUCAAGGCGCUCGGCCUCCAGGAGGAGGACGGCGAGGACGCCGCGCGCGCCUUCCCCAGGGACGCCCCCGCCGUCGUCCCCGCGGGGAAGGUCGUCGCCUACUACGAGCUCCGGAGGGUGCUUCGCGAGCUGCUUGCGGAGCACCCGAGGGCCCGCGUCGUCGUCACGGGCCACAGCCUCGGGGGCGCGCUUGCCGUCCUCUUCCCGGCCGUGCUGGCGCUGCACGGGGAGGGGGACAUCCUCGGCAGGCUCGGGGCCGUGCACACCUACGGGCAGCCGCGCGUCGGGGACGAGGCGUUCGUCGACUUCUUCCAAGCCAAGGUGGCGGCGUCCUACUGGCGCGUGGUGUACAGGUACGACGUUGUGCCGCGGGUGCCGUUCGACGCGCCGCCGGUGGCAGGAUUCAGCCACGGUGGGACGUGUGUGUACUACGACGGGUGGUACGACGGGCGGGUGCUCGGCGGGGAGGAGGUGCCGAACCCGAAUUACAUCGGCCUGCGGCACGCGCCAUCCAUGUAUCGCAACGCGCUGGGCGACCUGCUGAAAGCCAUGUUCCUAUGGGUCAAGGCCGGGGGUGAGUACCAUGAGGGCGCCGUGUCCCUGCUCUACCGCGGCGCCAUCGGCAUGCUCGUCCCCGGCGUUGCGUCACACAGCCCACGCGACUACGUCAACGCCAUCCGCCUCGGCCGCAUUGGCACCGCCGCCGGUUAA